AGAGGCUGCAGAAAACCCUCCUGUGUCCCUGAGUUGGCUCUGUCCUUAAAUUUUGCAGCAGGAGAAUUAUUGAGCUGUUCUUGGGAUGAUUUUUAGCCUAUGUAUGUCUACACUUAGGAGGCUGACAUCUUAUAAAUGCAUAUGGUUUUGUUCAAAUGAAUACGUAGUUGACAAAUACUUGGCUAGAAGUUAUAAUGACAAAUUUAAUAGCCCUACUAUAGCCUGAACUGUCAUCUUUAUUUGGGUUAAGCUUGCUAAAUGUCAACUGGAAUUUUGUACUAUAAUAACCUGCAACUUGGUUCCAAAAUCAGCCAUGUUUUUGACAAAUAUGCUUUCCUGGCUGAAAACCAUGAAUGACCCAGAAUAGUUCAUAUCUUUGGAAGAUCCUUAUUUUCCUUGUAAAUGAAAGUCAUGCAUUUGGAAUAAUAACAUGAAAUGAUGUGAAUGAAAAUAAUUCUGGAAGUGAGUCUGCCAUUGCUGGGCAGGAACCCAGACUCCUGCUAGCUCAGUGCUCUGUCUUCCUUAGCUUUUUGUUCCUUGGACUUAAGGUCCAAGAUGGCUGCUGAGGUUCCAGCCAUCACACUAAAAUUGCAUCCGACUGAAAGAGGAAAGGAAGAAGAAAGUGCCCUGGCUCACCUUUUUGGAGACUUCCUGAAGGUACUUUUCAACGUAUCUGCUUGUAUUUCAUUUGCCAGCACUCGAUCACAGAACAAAGAUGUUUGUGAAAUGCUUGAAUAACUGGGGUUCUGUUAUUAAAAGAAAGGUAAUAAUUGCUCUUGAGGGGCUACAACCAUCUGGAGUUGGGAUAAUACAACUGCCACACUGAAUUCUAUGAAAGCCAAUUCUAUUGGCUAUUGUUGUAUGCAAAUAUCCCUCUCUUUGGUGAAACAGCAAGCAGCUAAUUAUGUUAAGGGAUGCCUUCUUUUUGGUCUCUUUCUUUUGUAACAAUCUCAAGAGUUCAAGUUUCCAAAGUGAACUCUCUUUUUCAGUCGUUUGGAGCUUUGUAGCUUGAUUGAAAAGAAUGCUGUGAUUCAGCUGGCCACGUUGCUAGGCUGCCUGACAAUUUACCUCUAGCAGUGGGGAGGAAACAGUUGUGUUGUUGGAAAUAUUUAACUUAAAAAUGGAUGAAAAUCAUUCUUCAAGUUUAUUUUUUAAUAGCUAAAUUAUUUUGCUUAGAAGGGCUAAAACAUUUCUGUGUGUUCCUCUUUCGUUUUUUUUUUUUUUAAAGGAGGUAAUAAAUAAGGUGAAUAAAAUUGUAAACAAAAA
Molecule: long non-coding RNA, 1266 nt
Organism: Homo sapiens (human)
Lineage: Eukaryota; Metazoa; Chordata; Mammalia; Primates; Hominidae
Product: long intergenic non-protein coding RNA 1517
Source: Ensembl